RNAcentral lists this long non-coding RNA (505 nucleotides) under Gopherus agassizii (Agassiz's desert tortoise). RNAcentral describes it as "lncRNA (ENSGAGG00000013848.1)". The record is from RNAcentral. Lineage: Eukaryota; Metazoa; Chordata; Testudines; Testudinidae.
CGGGCGGGCCGGAGGCCACAGGGAUCGGAGAUGGGGGGGCAGGAGCAGCCAGGAGUCCCUGGCCCCCUAAAGCCCGGCAGACUCCGCUGCGCGAAGCGGAGAAGCAGCUGGAGCCGUGAGGUUUUCACACCCAGAGAAAUCUGUUCGCCCGUGCAGAGCCCGGCCUGGGUCCGUGACCCCCCCGGGGCUGGGCCUCAGGGCGGCCAGUGCAGAGCCCAGCCUAGGUAAAGCUCUUGGGAAACCUCCACAUGGCCGUCACGGUUGUGCUCUUAGGGGGAAACCAGGAUUGGCCCCUACCAAGCAGGUCAGUGAGGGUCACCUGCCCUUUCUCCCUGUUUGCGCGCAUGGCAGGGAGGGAGGGCGGGCAGGGGAGGUGGUAGAAACAUCUGCCAAGUGCCAAGUAAAGGGAAAUCCGUUCUCACUGUGAAAGAUGGUGUUUGGAGUCACAUGGGCAAGUUCCGUGUCCAUCACCCCCACCCCUCUUCUAGUUAGAACCUUCACAAAA